UAAACGGAUGCGACGACGAUCGGCUGGU
RNAcentral lists this small RNA (28 nucleotides) under Bombyx mori (domestic silkworm). RNAcentral's name for it is "ovarian small RNA-18177". The record is from RNAcentral. Lineage: Eukaryota; Metazoa; Arthropoda; Insecta; Lepidoptera; Bombycidae.